UACAUGAUCAAUUUGUACAAUGCCCGUUAAUCCUCUUCAACUAGAGGAGCUAGACAUGACAUUAGCACGCAGGUCAUCAUAUCCUUUAACUGCCCACUACCACCACCCCCUUAAUUGUUAUAUAAGCAAGUUUGAUUAACGACCUCCAAGCGUGCUGCUACAUGUCCCUUCCUUUUUGGUCCUGCAGGAAUUUAGGACCUCUAGACUUAGGUAGUUUUAGACAAUCCUAAGGUGUUUAAAGGGGAAAAGUCUAGGCAACAACAAAUAAACAUAGGACUAUCAAUUAAAGAAGCAGGUAAAAGGCUCAUAUUGACCUUUACAUAUAUAUAGUCAAAUAAACAACACGUCUCAAGCAGCUGAUUUUGAAAAAGUUCAGAAAGCCUAGGAACAUGAUAUCUCGAUGCAUGUUACAGAUACAAGAUUUACAUGGUUUGUUUUAAUAGAAGUGGAAGAAUCCUAACUAGUUUGCCUACUUGUUUUAUUUUUACGCCUGGAUAAUUUCACACACAUAUAAAACUGGUUUCACAAUUGUUUGACAGCCUAAGGCUUGCCUAAGUGUGUAUAUGUAACCCCAAUCUGGGGCUACUUCAACUGAAGUCCUUUCAUCCUACAGGCAUGCUGAUCUAAGUGAUGAACAUUAUAGCAGGUGAUCUCAUAUUGAU
Molecule: long non-coding RNA, 662 nt
Filed under: Nicotiana benthamiana
Lineage: Eukaryota; Viridiplantae; Streptophyta; Magnoliopsida; Solanales; Solanaceae
Description: long non-coding RNA (NBEN_LNC024384)
Source: RNAcentral